This 550-nucleotide ribosomal RNA is filed under the name uncultured fungus. Its description in RNAcentral is "eukaryotic LSU rRNA". It matches the Rfam family "Eukaryotic large subunit ribosomal RNA", at positions 71 to 647 of the family's 3401-position model. Lineage: Eukaryota; Fungi. The record is from RNAcentral.
GGGAUUGCCCUAGUAACGGCGAGUGAAGCGGCAACAGCUCAAAUUUGAAAUCUGGCCUUUGGUCCGAAUUGUAAUUUGUAGAGGAUGCUUUUGGUGCGGUUCCUUCCGAGUUCCCUGGAACGGGACGCCAUAGAGGGUGAGAGCCCCGUACGGUUGGAUACCUAUCCUUUGUAAAGCUCCUUCGACGAGUCGAGUAGUUUGGGAAUGCUGCUCUAAAUGGGAGGUAAAUUUCUUCUAAAGCUAAAUACCGGCCAGAGGCCGAUAGCGCACAAGUAGAGUGAUCGAAAGAUGAAAAGCACUUUGAAAAGAGGGUUAAAUAGCACGUGAAAUUGUUGAAAGGGAAGCGCUCAUGACCAGACUUUUGCCAUUCGGAUCAUCCGGUGUUCUCACCGGUGCACUUCGUUUGGUUUAGGCCAGCAUCGGUUUUUGUAGGGGGAUAAAGACUUUAGGAACGUAGCUCUUUCGGGAGUGUUAUAGCCUAUUGUGUAAUACCCUUACGGAGACCGAGGCUCGCGCUCUGCAAGGAUGCUGGCAUAAUGGUCAUCAGCGA